GAUGAACGCUGGCGGCGUGCCUAAUACAUGCGAGUCGAGCGAACGGACGAGAAGCUUGCUUCUCUGAUGUUAGCGGCGGACGGGUGAGUAACACGUGGAUAACCUACCUAUAAGACUGGGAUAACUUCGGGAAACCGGAGCUAAUACCGGAUAAUAUUUUGAACCGCAUGGUUCAAAAGCGAAAGACGGUCUUGCUGUCACUUAUAGAUGGAUCCGCGCUGCAUUAGCUAGUUGGUAAGGUAACGGCUUACCAAGGCAACGAUGCAUAGCCGACCUGAGAGGGUGAUCGGCCACACUGGAACUGAGACACGGUCCAGACGCCUACGGGAGGCAGCAGUAGGGAAUCUUCCGCAAUGGGCGAAAGCCUGACGGAGCAACGCCGCGUGAGUGAUGAAGGUCUUCGGAUCGUAAAACUCUGUUAUUAGGGAAGAACAUAUGUGUAAGUAACUGUGCACAUCUUGACGGUACCUAAUCAGAAAGCCACGGCUAACUACGUG
RNAcentral lists this ribosomal RNA (497 nucleotides) under uncultured bacterium. RNAcentral's name for it is "partial 16S ribosomal RNA". It matches the Rfam family "Bacterial small subunit ribosomal RNA", at positions 28 to 507 of the family's 1533-position model. The record is from RNAcentral.